Molecule: long non-coding RNA, 376 nt
Organism: Corticium candelabrum
Lineage: Eukaryota; Metazoa; Porifera; Homoscleromorpha; Homosclerophorida; Plakinidae
Exons: 3
Source: RefSeq, a predicted model, not a curated record
CACAUGUCCAGGUGAAUGCUGCUGAUAGACAAAAACGGACUUUCGUAAGUCUGUAGUUUCUGAAAGAAGAGCUCUUAUGUUGGUAUCAGAGACAAUUAUUGACAGGCUGUUUCUUUAACCUAAUGAAAGGAAUGUUGAAGCCACACUCUCUAAGAGUCUUCAAUAACAAACUGUGGAGCAAGACCGUUUCAGUAAGACACCAGUGCCGACUCAUUUCAAGUUGCAAGUGUGCAAAGUCUUUUGCAAACCUGUUGAUAGUACAGUACAUCAUGAGUUACAUUGAAUGAUCACAUUUUCUGCGAACAGACCCUAAGUGUAUGGUAUUUCUGAACAAAACAGUCGAGCUCUGAAAGUAUUGUUGGCAACAUGAUAUUCA